Long non-coding RNA from Oncorhynchus tshawytscha (Chinook salmon), 413 nucleotides. The record is from Ensembl. Lineage: Eukaryota; Metazoa; Chordata; Actinopteri; Salmoniformes; Salmonidae.
CCCCCACUGAGAGGCAGUCUGAUGUCCCCCCACUGAGAGGCAGUCUGAUGCAGUCCCCCCCACUGAGAUAUGCAGAUAUGUGUAGAUAUAUGAAGCUAUAGGUUUACAUGUAUAGAUACAGUUGAAGUCGGAAGUUUACAUACACCUGAGCCAAAUACAUUUAAACUCAGUUUUUCACAAUUCCUGACAUUUAAUCCUGGUAAAAAAAACUCCCUGUCUUAGGUCAGUUAGGAUCACCACUUUAUUUUAAGAACGUGAAAUGUCAGAAUAAUAGUUGAGUGAUUUUAUUUCAGCUUUUUAUUUCUCUCAUCACAUUCCCAGUGGGUCAGAACUUUACAUACAAAUUUAGUGUUUUUGGUAGCAUUGCCUUUAAAUUGUUUAACUUGGGUCUAAUGUUUCGGGUAGCCUUCCAC